GCGCCCGUAGCUCAAUUGGACAGAGCGUCUGACUUCGAAUCAGCAGGUUGCAGGUUCGAGUCCUGCCGGGCGUACCG
Molecule: transfer RNA, 77 nt
Filed under: Chloroflexota bacterium
Lineage: Bacteria; Bacillati; Chloroflexota
Description: Chloroflexi bacterium (marine sediment metagenome) tRNA-Arg
Rfam family: tRNA
About the family: Transfer RNA (tRNA) molecules are approximately 80 nucleotides in length. Their secondary structure includes four short double-helical elements and three loops (D, anti-codon, and T loops).
Source: RNAcentral